UAUUGGUUGGUCGGAGUUCCCGCCGAGGUGACUGGGCCAACGCGCUUCCCCCGCCCGGCCUCGGUAGUUCCAGAGAGGGCGGGACAAAGGUCGUUCUUCCGCUUUUAAUUGCUUGUGGUUGCUAGGGGCGCUCGGAACGGUAGGUGUGUGGUGAGAGUUCACGUUUUAGAGACGUUGUGAAGCCAUCCCAAGAUUGGCAACUGGGGAACUUGUAUGGAGAGUCGGUCUGUCUGAACCCUGGUUUGAUAGGUCCCUCGCCGACUCCCGCAAUCCCCGCCAGAGCACGUUGGUCCCAGUCUCUCUUCGCUCUUCACCUGCCCGGCCUUUGGCGGGACUCCUCGCUUUUCCGGCUCCGGCGCGGACUUCCUCCAGGUGCUGUGUGACGGCCUCCAGGACUCGACCUGGGAGGUGAUGAGGUGCGCUCCGGUGCGUCUGAGCGGGCGCCGGGGGCGAGUCCAGUCGCUUCAGCACUCCCCUCUCAUGGCUCGUUUGUUGAGAAAAGUUGGUGAGUUCUAGUCGGUAGGAAAGUCUUCAAGUUUCCGCACGGUCAAGCCUUCAGACUUGGACCAAAACAUCAGCUCUUCUUGGAUCUUGAGCCUGCCGACUUUCAGACUGGAACUUAUACCAUCGGUGUCCUGGUUCUCAGGCUUUUGAACUCAGACUGGAACUAAACAUUGGUUCUCCUAAGUCAUCAGCUUGCGGACUGCAGAUCUUGGGACUUCUCAGCCUCUCUAAUCAUAUAAUGAGGAUCUUCAAGAAUGUCUUCGAACUGCAGGUUAAAUAGGCUCAAAGAAAUCCCACCCCUAUUGUUCCAGACUAAGCCCAUCCCCUGGGGCUUAAUCAAGGCAGAGAAGCUGCCAGAGCGAGGAGGUCUAACCUGUGGGAAGGUGGCAUGGAAUAAGAAUGGCAACUAAGAAGCUGUACUAAGAGUUCAGGUGAGAGCAGGUGAGAGAUUGAAUGAAUGCAGAGGCAGAGGGGACAGCAGGGAGAGAGAGCUUGAGGAAACAUCUCUAACAUAGCUGGAGACUGAGUUCAAUCAUGUGACCAAUGAUCCAAUCAGUCAUGCCUUCCCAGUGAAAUCCCAAUAAAAUGUCUUGAUGCUGAGGUUCAGAGGAGUCCCUGGUUGGUGAACACGGGUGUGCUGGGAAGGUGACAUGUCCUGGCUCCCCAGGGAGAAGAUAUGGGAGCUCCAUGUUGAAGACCCUCCCAGACCUCACCCUAUGUGUCCCUUCAUUUGGCUGGCCCUGGUUGUAUCCUUUAAAUAAAACUGUAAUUGUUAAGUGCA
Aethalodelphis obliquidens (Pacific white-sided dolphin) is the source of this 1285-nucleotide long non-coding RNA. RefSeq lists it as uncharacterized. The transcript has 3 exons. The record is from RefSeq and is a predicted model, not a curated record. NCBI's taxonomy places the organism in Eukaryota, Metazoa, Chordata, Mammalia, Artiodactyla, Delphinidae.